GCAAGCUUGCUCAAUAAGAAAAUCAUAUUAUUAAGUGACAGAAGCACUUUUUAGGAUUCACUGUGAUGAGCAUACUACAUUCAUUCAUUUGUGAAACUGUGCAUAUUACAAAGUGACAAAACAUACAUUAAAUGAAUUAAGACUGUUCUGGCUCUGAGAGGAGUUAAUAAUUGUCUACUAUGUAGUUGUGAUAUUUUCUAACAGAACUGCUUUCCUUUGGCCCAAACAGUAAUAUUUUUCUUUGUCAAACCAAACUGUUUAAAUAGCAAAGUCUAAAUAACAACAACAAAUUAACAUUGUCUUAAUGAAGUCUAUUAUGUCUUGGUUCCCCGGAAGGACCACAAGGUACACAGGAUGCCAUGCUGCCCCUUACUCCUGAACCAAAAGGACUUUUGACUGCAAAUCUUCCCUGCCUACCUUCUCCAUGAAGUAAAGACAGACUGGAGCAGCCAGCACAGACAGGACAGGGGUAUGAGGGUGAAAUUCAAUGGGAGGUUUGACUUCAGUGGGACCAGGAUUUCACUUUGAAUAUCAACAUGAGGAAAAAAUAUCUAAAAUAUUUAAACUGAUGGCAAUACUGUUCUUUAUGGCAUAGAAAACAUCUAUGGUAUUUGCUUUCAAAGUAAUUCAUUAUUAACGGUUUUUUCCUCUGCACCAGACAAAGAAAAAAAAUGUUUUACCUCAAUAUUUUCAACAGCUAAAUGGCAACAUGCUGCAAGCACUGCACGGCCAUCCUGGAAAUACCACUCUGCCAGUUCUUUACUGACUUUGUGUAGGAGCCUGCAAUAACAAAACAGGAAUUCUGCAAGAACAUUUUCAGAGUUAACAACUAAAGCAACAGUAACAGCUACAUGGGAGAGUGGAUUGACCUCUUGUGCUUUUGGCUCCUGGGUUUCCACAAAGUGGUUACAGCAAAGUGGAAGACUUGAAACCUAGGUGUAUUAACAUGAAAGCCCCAGUGUGGAUUAAUAUGUGCAGGACACUGAUUUUCAGGUACAAUCAGUUUUUAUGAAUUUGUGAGUUUUUCUUCAGAACUGGGGAACAGCAGCAAAUUUUAAACUGCUUAUUGUGCACAUCAAAUCUGCAUGAACAUUCACCUGCUUGCUAAAAAUAAAAACCUAUGAACAUAAAUCAUAUAUGCAAACACAAAUGUCUGUUUGCUCAGUUGUGCCAGUUCUACAUGCAGUUACAUGAUUAAUGCCUAGGAAUGCCAAUAAAGACUGGGUACAUGCA
Molecule: long non-coding RNA, 1233 nt
Organism: Alligator mississippiensis (American alligator)
Lineage: Eukaryota; Metazoa; Chordata; Crocodylia; Alligatoridae
Exons: 2
Source: RefSeq, a predicted model, not a curated record